UUCUCUGUUAGAAGAGGAAAAUCAUCUCCCUGAACAUAAGCCUGUCUCCCUUUCAACAAUAGUCAGACCUUUUAUAGAUUGUGUGAAGUAAGCUGCACGGCAAAGCGAAGGAGAAUCGUGCAAGGAUCUGUCUUCAGCAAACUGUAUGAAUUCGUAGUGGAUUCAGUAUACACGAAUGUACUGCUAACUCACUACUAUACUUUACUUCAGAAACUCCCCCUCCCUCUUCCCUCCCCUUACCCUUACCCUGUCAUCCACAGUUUUCCCGGGCAGCGCCAGAAAAAGUGUCAAUAAGGAUGUCAGGGCCAGACCGUUCCAGCAACGCCUAUGGCAUCCUGAAGUUGUCGGAGCUGACAUUCCUGCUAGUUUCGAUGGGCAUCUUUAAGGAGCAGAUCUCAUCUUCAGUGCAUCCCAUCCCGUAGCCAUCGACACCUUCUUUUCGGGCAUGUUCGUCAUGGGUAUCGUCAUCACGGCCAUCUUAUUCAUCUGCCAUCUCGUCGGGCAGACG
This is a long non-coding RNA of Macrobrachium nipponense, 508 nucleotides long. RefSeq lists it as uncharacterized. The record is from RefSeq and is a predicted model, not a curated record. The transcript has 3 exons. NCBI's taxonomy places the organism in Eukaryota, Metazoa, Arthropoda, Malacostraca, Decapoda, Palaemonidae.